This is a long non-coding RNA of Triticum aestivum (bread wheat), 5075 nucleotides long. RefSeq lists it as uncharacterized. The record is from RefSeq and is a predicted model, not a curated record. The transcript has 4 exons. NCBI's taxonomy places the organism in Eukaryota, Viridiplantae, Streptophyta, Magnoliopsida, Poales, Poaceae.
GCUUUCUCACAACAUGAUGUGUGUGUGUGGCGAGACGGUGAGAGACAGUCACUUUGCUUUCUCCGCCGCACGCCUCCGGCCGCCUUCUUUGGAGCAGGGCGCACGCCGCCGGCCGCCUUCUCUGGAGCAGGGCGCAUCCUCUCCGGGCACGACGUCUUCUGGCGCCCCCUCCCCGCACCACCACCACCACCACCACGCCCUCGCCCCGUCUCCUAUCCCCAUGACGGCCUUGCCUCGCCAGCUCUUAUCCCCACCACGGCCUCGCCCCGCCGCCUCCUCUCACCACUGCGGACUUGCCUCGCCGCCAACCCCGUGGAUCUUCCCUACAUCGACUCUGCCGCCGCCAUCAUACAGCCGCAGAGCAGAUCGAGAUGCGAGCUGCUGGACACGAUGCAUGCAGGAGCAGGCAUCUUGAAUUGGACCGAGAUCUAGUGCGUCGACCUCACACAGUCGCUCCGGGAAGGAGUUCGCAGCCUACGCUCGGUUGCUGAAGGCACCUUCGCCACAUUGUCAUCCAUUUGUGAGAUGUUUCUGUUUCUCCAUGUUGGCAUGGAUGCAUUGGAUAUAGAGUAGUGGAAGAUUGUUAGCGGAACACAUACACAGGUAGUAACAUAUUUGUUGUUCAAAUGUAUAAUAUGCAGCCCAAUGAAAUGUAUCGCCUUGAGCACCAUUAUUUAGGCCAGAUCUCAUGAGAGGUGCUGUGUGAAUUGCAUUGGCAUACAAUAAGGUAAAGAAUUGCAUUGGCAUACCAAAUCUGUUGGUCAAAUGUGCUUCAGGAAUGCUAUGCAGUGAAAAAAGAAACAUAAUAGCAUACCUGCCCUGAAUGCUCUGAGUUAUAGUAGGAGGCGUACCCAUCCGUCUGAAGACUGCUCUUAAUAUAUUCUUCUCUUUUCCAUGUUGUAACAUCGAGAUCAGUCCACUUAUCGGAUUUUAAUUCCAUGUGCUUGGAUGCAUAUUUGAAUAAAUCCUCUAGUCCUUCUAGCUGUUGUACCAACAAAUGGAAAAAGUAUAAGCAUCACAAGUGAGAAAUAAGAAAAAAAAGGUUCUUAGAAAAGAUGGGGGAGUAGGACUAAGUACUAACCGUAUCAGCGAGGUCCUUGCGGCUCAUGUAAGGGCCUAGCGAGUCGAGCACUUGGACACAUUUUUUUCUGGCAUUUAUAACACAUAGGUACCAGUGAAAGUCGUCGUUGUUUAUUGGAAUGUAUAUCUGAAGAAAAUGAUUAUUUUAGUUGUACUCAUAUGUGGACGAAUCAGUCGUUCUUGCUGUAAUUCAUAGAAAUAUGUAGAAAAGUAAGACUAACCAUAUCAUUUUCCAAAUAUGCUUUGGCUCUGUUUAAUACCCAUGCUGGUGCAGCAUCCAUGUCAUCUGAGGGCAGAUAGCUACCGAUCUUCAUCAUCUUAGAGAUGCAUGCAUUCUCUAAGAACACACUUCCACCUGACCUUACUUGUAGAUGCUCCGUAAAAAUCAUGCAAUUUAUGUACGUAUUUAUGACCUACAAUUAAAAGUAUACAUAGUAUAUUAGAUGACACAUACUUCUAAUCAAAUAGCAUCUUCAUGUCCUAAUAUACUUACUUCGUCGCCAACCCAUUCUUUGGGAGAUAGAAGAGAUAGUAAAUGUCUUUUUUUUUUCAGAAAUGCGUCGCCGAUGCUCACUACAUUUCUUUCUUUACUUGGUUCAGAUCUGAUUUUUUCUAUAACGGACCAAUCAUCGCCAGUGCAGGCAUAAUCUGUCACGAUGGCCAUGAUAACAUUUAAUGAUAAUGAACACAAAAACAAUAAUAUAGCAGUACAAGGACAUUGAAGGUUUUGUUCUGUGCCUUGUGGAGAAACAACAUAGUCUUGUGCCUUCUUAGGCUUGUUAUGCCGUCGUAUAUGUUUCUUUAUAUGCACGGGCAUUGUUAGCUCGUCCUCUAUAGUUUGAAGCCCUUCCGUGGCGGGUGUUUGUGCCAAUUUCUCGUCCUCAGUUGCCACCAUUUGUUGACUUGUUUUGUUGUGGGUUAACUUCUGAAAACAAUAUUAAAAGAAUUACCCGUAUGUAGGAUAUAAUAUAAUUCGAAUAAUUUUGGAAGAAAUAGUUGGAAAAGGAAAGUCACAUUUGUAUGUUCAGAAUCUUUGGCCUCUCUGUUUGCUCUGUUUUCUUCAAGAAUAUGUGUAUAUUCUAGGCUCUCCGUGCAAUUAUUUUUCUCCACUUCAUUAUUGUUCGGUAUUUCACUUGAUUCGUCAUCUCUCGGUAGCUGAAACACAUGGUAGUAUAAUACUAUAACAGAUAGAAUAUCUUUUUGAUAUGAUAUUGUACUAAAAAAAUUUACAAAGUGCUCUGUGGCGUUAGAAUUAGAAUAGUAAUGACAUGUGGAAAGAAAACUUGCCUACGUGGACUCGGGAUAUGUAUCCUCCUGUACGGUCAUCACCUCAUCAAUAUGCAUAUUCUCUGUAUCCUCCAUAGUAGAGUCUUCUUGUAUCACCUGUGCCGACUCAUAGUUUGUAUCCUCGUCUUUCUUUAUCACCUUUUCAACCUGCAUAUUAUCUAUAUCCUCAUCCUUUGCUACCUUGUUGAUGUCAUCCUAAAAACCCAAGUAUGACACUUUUAGAUAGGAGGAAACCUUGCAUAGAAAGAACAGAGAUACAAUAUGUCUUUACCAUCUCGAUAGCAUGGACAGUAGUACCGGAUCUGGAUGGAGAUUGACUCGCAUGUGGCACCGGUGACGGAGGCGCAGACAUGGAUGAAGAUGGUGCUUCACCAAGGGCAGAUGUGUGCGGCUCAGUUGAGAGACUUGUUGUGGAGGUAUGUUGGGAUGCGGCUGAGAGAUCACGAGGGAGGAUGGAGGAGAGGUGAAAGUAAUGGUAUCAGGCAAUAUAAGGCAGAAUCGUGAGAGAAAGGAAACUACUAUCGCGAUAAUUGGGGACUCCUGAUUGCUAUCAUCCACGGAUUUAUCUGAGGCCCCAGAAUCUUAUCUUGUGCUUUUUUAUACUCACACAAAAUAUUGGAGUUAUUUUCGUGGUACAAUUUAUAUGCAUAAAUAGUGGGUUUGGCCCACCUUCCUUCUGUAACUGUGGGCUUAAUUCAGAAAAUGCACACCCUUUUAAUAUUUGAGAAACUAAUUUUUUCUGUUUCAUUUGAAAUUCAGCUGAUGUAUGGUGGUUGCCUUCUUGUACAUGAGCUUACGACUGCGGGAGAUCACGACUUGUUCUUUUGAUUUUUUUUGGUUCAUCACAUGAUCCAUCAAGCCAGCCAAGGCGGAGAUCAGUGAAGAGGUGAAGUAGAAAAUGGAAUCGGAAUAGGAGGCAUAUCUUCAACUGGUUUGAUGCAUGUUGGAAGAUGCUUGAAGUGGCGGUCGUAACACAGUCAGUUGGGACGACUCGUUGGCAGAGUUGUUAUUAUUAACAUUUUCAUUGUUAGAGACGACAGUAUCUGGUGUUGUUAGUGAACAUGGAACAUGAAGUGGAGUCUGAUCACUCAUUACCACAUCAACAGGUAUGCCUGCAUCAAAAUUGUAUUACCAAAGCCAGUUGCUAGCACACAAGAGCCGGUAGUAUGUUUGGAUGUAGGAGAACACAUGACCUUCCACAACUGGUGCGUGUCGUUGCUGGGUGAUAGCAGACUGCGCACUGGGCAUAUCCAUAGUGUCAAAACCUGUCCAAAGGGACUUUUAAUUAACAUGAGUUUAGCUGUGAUUAAUGAAAUGUAUGAUAAAGAACAGAGAAAAUUGAGUAACCAGGCGACAUGGCCACGGGUGGCUUAGAUGGAGUGUUGGUUUCAUUUAAAACCGCGGACAUAGCUUUCUUACUAUCCCUUGCCUCCUUUCUUUUUUUCAAUAUUGCAUCCCUGUUUAGUGCAUACCUCUCCCUUUCUCUCUGUCUCUUUAGUUCUUUUGGAUCUGUUUUUUGACCUGCGAGGCAAUGACAUAGUCGGUACUUACAUGAUAUUAGUAGCUAAGAGUAGGUGAUAUCUGUAUUUACCUGAACUGUCGUUGUUCGUCAGGUCCUGAAAGGGAUUACGUACCCCACUACGCUGAGAUCCGGACAUAUUGUCUUGUCAAUGAACACUUACUGAACCGUGCCUCAACUCAGUUUGCUAUGCAAAUCAUGAUGUACUGUACGGAAGUAGUCAGAUGUCUUGGAGAUCUGCUCGCCACCGGGGUGAUGACACCGGAUGUAAGGCAGCGCGCCGGGUCGAGGACGUCGCAGACACCGGGGAGAGGGCGGCGUGGCGACGACGGCGUAUUGAGGAGAGUUAGGGCUGCAAGGCGGGUCGAGGGCGUUGCGUCGUCGCGGAGACCAGGGGCAAGGGUCGCGUGGCGAGGGCGGCCGGGUGGGGUGGAGCGAGGACGGCGGGGCGGCGUGCCGACGCGAGGUUCGUGGCGUGGUGGUGGCGUUGAUCGCGGAGAUAAUGUUUAUUCGCUGGAUGGAGGUGUCAUCGUUAGGAUGUGUAGGAGCCUGGACGUGGGAGUCUGCCGGCAGAACAUUUGAUUAGAACCGUUGAUCUGGUUGUAGUAUGUUUGAUGAAAGGUGGACAGUUGGAUGAUAGUAAGUGGGUCUGAUCGGACGUCUAGGGUUAUCCUGUGUGCACUUUGUCGUAUGGACGUAGGGGAAGUCACGUUUGGUCUUUUAAUAGUAGUAUAGAAGGAUGUAGAACACUACACAAAACACGAGCCCAUUAUUUAAAUAAAAGAACAGUAGAAGCAAGAAGAGAAAUCUACACUAAGCCUAGCCUGCAAGGUUAAGUCUUGAGCCAUCAAGAACAAUAUACAUGUUACAUGUUCACUCAGCAUAUAUACUCAUGAGUUGCUAGAGCAUAAAACGGAACAUAUGGUAUUAUCAAUCAAGUGAUACUUCUAAUUGAUUAUAAGUUUCUCAACAAACUUCAACGUUUUUCUCUACUUCCCCUAUUUGUCUCAGCAUAUAUAUUCACCAAAUUGUAUUAUAAGUUUAUAACCCGGGCAAACUUAGUGGUACACUACUAUAGAAUAUUGCUGCUGUUUUUUCUAAAUAUAAAUUUCUAGUUCCAUUUUAUAUCAAUAGCACUAUAUAUAACUUCUCAGACACAUACACACAGAAAAACUGUAUAAAAAAGAAU